This is a long non-coding RNA of Helianthus annuus (common sunflower), 8550 nucleotides long. RefSeq lists it as uncharacterized. NCBI's taxonomy places the organism in Eukaryota, Viridiplantae, Streptophyta, Magnoliopsida, Asterales, Asteraceae. The record is from RefSeq and is a predicted model, not a curated record. The transcript is spliced from 7 exons.
CAUCCGUCAAAAUGGAUUGCCAAAAUCCGACCCGUUUUGAAUUUUGGAUUCUAACCCUAGAAGCCCGAGAGCUUCGCAAAAUAAUUAACCGUUUAAUUCGUUAUAAACUCAUUAGUUUAAUUAACUAAAUUGACUAAUGUUACAAUUAAAAGUCUUAUUUUCCUUUCCUUACAAAAAAAAAUAAUAAAAAAAUAAAAAUAAUAAUCUAGUUAGUCUCGUUAAGGUUAAGAAAAUACAAGUAAUCUGGCUAGUAAGUCAAGUUAGGUCGGUUGAUUAACCUUAGGGACUGUUUGUGCAAAUUAGUAAAUUAAACCACAUGGACUGUUGUGCAAAUUUUGGAACUUGGAACUCUCAAUUAACCAAACGACGCACAGUACACAUAAAUUAUGAGUCUUCUUUUUUUUGCCGCUCGAUGCAUAUCCCCAUUCUUUUGUCUGCUCUUUUUCCUCUACAAAACUUACACACACAUGGUCAGCAUACAACAUCACAAGCAGGCCUCUCACCUCCCUCUCUCGACUGUAUACGGCCAGAAACCGACGACCGGAGAGAUUCCGGUGACGGCCGUCCGUAAGCCCUCACCACCACGGCACACCCCAACACCCGCAUAACACCGUAACAUCCUCCGAACCACUUCACGUUGACGGAGUUCAGUCGCAGUCACCGGAGACACCACAAGACACCUCAACCGUCGGAGACGUUGCCGGAACUCGGAUCCUCGCCGAAGUCGUUACGUCGGAACUCGGAUAACCAUUUCGUACUCUUGGAUUUCCCAAUCUUUUACCCGUGCGAUAUUUCACAAGGAAUAUCCAAGCGCAACCACUGUUAAUUAUUGAGACGAUAUUCAAGACGAAACAGGAUUUAGGGUGGACUAGAUACACACCUAGAUCAAUCUAUCUUUUAUUGUUAUGUUAUGAAACAAUGUUGUUAUUUCUUUUUGGAUCUCGUAUGACAUUUAGUAUUGCAAUGAAAUUUGAAUUUAAUUAAAUAUUGUCACAUAAUGUUAUGACGUCUCUUGCAAUCUAUACACACUUCGUCUCAUCCCGAUGUUUCCGCCAUCGGUUGGGGUGUGACAGAUUGGUAUCAGAGCCAUAACUAUAGGGAAUUAGGAAAAGUAGGAAUGCUUUAGCCUAGUCUAUAGUUUUAGAGCUUUAUUCUUAUGUUUUACUUGAAACUACUUGCAUGCUACCUUAUUUGCUCUUAUUUAUUCUCUUUUGAUCUUUUAAGCAUAUAUGUCGCUUAUGUGUUAACACUUGGCAUGCUAUACUUGCUUUAUUAUGUGCUAAUACAUGUUUUAUUGUCCCACUCAUUAUGUGCUAUUCUUGAUAUGCUUCAUUAUGCGUUUAUAUUUGUUUGUUUAUUCCUUUAACAUACUCUUUCCCUCAUACAUUUUACUUGAUUAUUCUAAAUCCAACAACACUCAUAUUAUACAAAUGGGACGAGUUUACCAAAAUAGGCGUGAAACCCACAACUUUGUAAACGACUCUCAUCCCACAUGAUUCUAUUUUUGCACGAAAUUCACCAUUUAGUUAGGAGUGAAAUCCACAUCUUGAUGGAAAUUUCAAAUUUUAAUUCUUGUGGACCCUCAUCAACGUGUCGAAAUUUGGUUUUGACCCGACGAGCACCAACCACAUUUAGGGUACAAAGUGGUCAAGCUAGGGGUGAAACCCACACCUCGUCGACUAGUCCCACUCCUUAAUUUUCAAAAAUCCCGCAAAGUCUCGAAUUUUCGAUGGAUUGGGAACACGUAGUAACUGGAAGGGUGAAUACCGUUAACCGAGAUAUCGGCGAGAGUAUUCCACCUAUUAGGCCAAAGCAUGUUUCUCAAUUUCCAAAAGAUCUUUCGACCACUUUGGUUAGUCAAUGUUCCGUUUGGAACCAUCCAAGUUUUAUUCGAGCUUACGCUUUAUUAUUUUCGAUCUUUUGUCAAUUUUGAACAAUUUUUCGAGAUUUCAUUUUUGCGCAACAUCAUACCCUUACUUUUCAUACGAUUAUACAUUAUUAGCAUGCAUGAUUUCACGUAAUUUUAUUCACGCUUUUAUAACAACGAGCGGAGACAUAUCAUCGAGGUAGGAGUGAUUUCCUUAACUAGACGAUUAACUCCACUUCUUUUUCUCAUCUUACAACGACCUCACCAAUGGGUUAGGGGUGAUUCCAUUACCUAGGUGAUCGUUACCGAUACUUUCUUUUAAUAGACUAUGUUAUGUAAACACGAUCAUUUAUACAUCUAAAUCGUUUAUCAUUAGUCAAAUCUCUAAUUAUUUCAAAAUGCAUUGUUUAUAUGAAUGAACUUCUUAUCCUACAAUCUAUUUUCAUAUAGCUCACACACGUAAAAUUUUUAACUUUUCCGUAGACACUUGUUUCUCAAUAUUCAAAAUUUCACGAAAUAUUACUCGUCAACUUAGUCGGUCUAACAAAUCCAUUGCCCACGAAUUUUGUAUUCAACGUAACUAUUAAAACAAGCUCAUCACAUAUCAUUAAACUAGAGAUUUCUAUUUUUAAUUGAGAAUCAAAUCAACUUUUUCGCACACACUUAUAAAAUAUUACCAGUAUUAUUUAAGCAUUUACUAAAAUCCUUUUCAAAACCAAUAAAACAUUUUUCAACAAUCACUAAGCUCGUAUACCAAAUUCCUUUUUCUAAGUAUCAACUUUUCCUCAAGAAUCUAUAAACUUCAAAACUUUCUAAUACAAAAGUUACUUAAAACGAUGCAAGCUUGUUAAUCCCAAGAACUUUUCAAAACCUCGCUCGAUACGCCAAUUAAAUUCAAAACACGCGGGCAAGGAAACUUCAUAAGAACCGACAAAUUCUCAACUAUGUAAAUUCUUUUUAAACCAUAAUAGCAUUUCCAUUCUUUUACAAAGUAUCCUUUCGCAUAAUCAAAAGAUGUUUUCUUUUAUAUUCUCCUUUCAUUCACAAACUAGAUUUUACAUUCCAUGACAACUCAAUCUAUUUUAACUUCACGUUUUGCGCGAACAACUAUAUAUGCAUAUCAUUUUACACGUUUUAGUCAAAACAUCACAACAAUCGCACGCAUAUGAUUUGUUUUCUUUUCCUUCCUACCCAAAACUUCGUGCUUAAAUUCGUAUAUUUCGAUUAAUAUUGUAAACAAAAAUCAUUAUUACUUACACUCAUACUUAUACGUUUUAUGUCUACACUCAUAUACAUACUUACACAUUUAUGUUAUAACCCAAAAUUCAUACAUCUUACGUUUAUACCAUACUCACAAUUGUAUAUUUACUUCAUACUUAUAUUCACGUUUAUAUUUGUAUCCAUGUUCAUACAUUUUACGUUUAUAUUCACACUCACACACUUUUCAUACUUAAACGUGUUUUACACUUAUAUUCACGUUCGUAAGCAUACUCAUGCAUCUUACGUUCAUACUCAUACUCAUACUUAUAAUCAUAUUCAUACUCACACGUUGUGUGUUCAUAUGUAUGCUCGUAUUCACACUCAUACUCGUAUUCAUACUCUCAUUUAUACGGUUUAUGCUAUACUCGUACUCGCGUUUAUACGAUUUCUGUUAUACUCGUACUUAUGUUUAUACUCUCAUUUAUACGAAUUGUGUUUAUACUCAUGUCAUUCGUUUGUGUUCAAAUUACACUCACAUUGGUACUCGUUUUUUUUUUCUUUUUUCAUAUGUGUCAUGUUUAUACUCGUAAUCAUACUAUUAACCAUGCGUUGUCGUUAUGCUUGCUUACGUCUUCAUAUUUAAAACUUACACCAUGCUCAUGCUUUUAUUCAUACUCAAAAAUUUAUACUUUUGCACCUAUAUGCGAGCGAAACCUGAGGGAUUCGCUUACGUUGACUUUAUACUAUUUGGAACGCAAACAUGCUUAUAUGCUACAUUUCUAUACCACAAUCUUAUUUUUAAAAUUUAUGUAUACCUUGAUUCAUACGCAACUAGUACAAGCUAUGCGGAUCAUGCGACGAUUAGUAUAAUCGCGGGUGCACACGGGAUUAUAGUAAUGGACGUAUGAGAACCAUAGAGUGUGCUACUGCGUAUGGUAAGACACUGAACGUAACAUGACACCGAAUACGAGACGGAUGGAACAUGGUUAGAACAUGGUGGAUACGCCACUGGUACAUCCUAUAUAUAAGUGUUUUCACCAUGUUACUAACCUUUCGUAAAACGUGCCAUGAGAAAUUCAGUGUUUUUCAAACCUUUGGACCUAAUUCAACUUUAAACAACUCACAAACGCAUCAUAUCCGAUUAUCCACGGCGAGACCUCAUUCUUAACAUCGCCUUCGUUCAUUCUGUACUUAUGCUAUUCUUAUGCUCGUAUUUGUGUAUCAAAAUCUAUUGUUCGCUUUUAUACUCCUCUCAUUCUCUAUUAUUCUUUGCCUUUUAUACAAACCCCAUUCGCUAUCUAGUUUGUUAAAACAUUCGAAUCCUAAGCUACCUCCUUACUUUUAAAACUAUCGUUCUAUUCCUUAGUGAUGUGCAAACACUUGUAACCGUUUCGUACAAAUUUUUCCUUCUUAAAUACGACACAUUCUAAUACAUCCCGAAUUUGGGUUAUUCAAAACUUGUUUAAACUCACUUUACCUAUAAACGUACUUACACGUUUUACUUAUGCUUAACGCCUCAACCCAUUUAGGCCAAACACACUCCUUUUACAAAACCUAUCAUUCCGUCCUUCAAAUUUCGUACUUUUCAAAAUGUUUCAGAACUUCCAAGUCUCAAUUUCAGGCAACCAUCCUUCUAACCGAAAUGCUUUUCUCCAAUAAAUUUCGGGACGAAAUUUCCUAAAGUAGGGGAGACUGUAACAUCCGUCAAAAUGGAUUGCCAAAAUCCGACCCGUUUUGAAUUUUGGAUUCUAACCCUAGAAGCCCGAGAGCUUCGCAAAAUAAUUAACCGUUUAAUUCGUUAUAAACUCAUUAGUUUAAUUAACUAAAUUGACUAAUGUUACAAUUAAAAGUCUUAUUUUCCUUUCCUUACAAAAAAAAAAUAAUAAAAAAAUAAAAAUAAUAAUCUAGUUAGUCUCGUUAAGGUUAAGAAAAUACAAGUAAUCUGGCUAGUAAGUCAAGUUAGGUCGGUUGAUUAACCUUAGGGACUGUUUGUGCAAAUUAGUAAAUUAAACCACAUGGACUGUUGUGCAAAUUUUGGAACUUGGAACUCUCAAUUAACCAAACGACGCACAGUACACAUAAAUUAUGAGUCUUCUUUUUUUUGCCGCUCGAUGCAUAUCCCCAUUCUUUUGUCUGCUCUUUUUCCUCUACAAAACUUACACACACAUGGUCAGCAUACAACAUCACAAGCAGGCCUCUCACCUCCCUCUCUCGACUGUAUACGGCCAGAAACCGACGACCGGAGAGAUUCCGGUGACGGCCGUCCGUAAGCCCUCACCACCACGGCACACCCCAACACCCGCAUAACACCGUAACAUCCUCCGAACCACUUCACGUUGACGGAGUUCAGUCGCAGUCACCGGAGACACCACAAGACACCUCAACCGUCGGAGACGUUGCCGGAACUCGGAUCCUCGCCGAAGUCGUUACGUCGGAACUCGGAUAACCAUUUCGUACUCUUGGAUUUCCCAAUCUUUUACCCGUGCGAUAUUUCACAAGGAAUAUCCAAGCGCAACCACUGUUAAUUAUUGAGACGAUAUUCAAGACGAAACAGGAUUUAGGGUGGACUAGAUACACACCUAGAUCAAUCUAUCUUUUAUUGUUAUGUUAUGAAACAAUGUUGUUAUUUCUUUUUGGAUCUCGUAUGACAUUUAGUAUUGCAAUGAAAUUUGAAUUUAAUUAAAUAUUGUCACAUAAUGUUAUGACGUCUCUUGCAAUCUAUACACACUUCGUCUCAUCCCGAUGUUUCCGCCAUCGGUUGGGGUGUGACAGAUUGGUAUCAGAGCCAUAACUAUAGGGAAUUAGGAAAAGUAGGAAUGCUUUAGCCUAGUCUAUAGUUUUAGAGCUUUAUUCUUAUGUUUUACUUGAAACUACUUGCAUGCUACCUUAUUUGCUCUUAUUUAUUCUCUUUUGAUCUUUUAAGCAUAUAUGUCGCUUAUGUGUUAACACUUGGCAUGCUAUACUUGCUUUAUUAUGUGCUAAUACAUGUUUUAUUGUCCCACUCAUUAUGUGCUAUUCUUGAUAUGCUUCAUUAUGCGUUUAUAUUUGUUUGUUUAUUCCUUUAACAUACUCUUUCCCUCAUACAUUUUACUUGAUUAUUCUAAAUCCAACAACACUCAUAUUAUACAAAUGGGACGAGUUUACCAAAAUAGGCGUGAAACCCACAACUUUGUAAACGACUCUCAUCCCACAUGAUUCUAUUUUUGCACGAAAUUCACCAUUUAGUUAGGAGUGAAAUCCACAUCUUGAUGGAAAUUUCAAAUUUUAAUUCUUGUGGACCCUCGUCAACGUGUCGAAAUUUGGUUUUGACCCGACGAGCACCAACCACAUUUAGGGUACAAAGUGGUCAAGCUAGGGGUGAAACCCACACCUCGUCGACUAGUCCCACUCCUUAAUUUUCAAAAAUCCCGCAAAGUCUCGAAUUUUCGAUGGAUUGGGAACACGUAGUAACUGGAAGGGUGAAUACCGUUAACCGAGAUAUCGGCGAGAGUAUUCCACCUAUUAGGCCAAAGCAUGUUUCUCAAUUUCCAAAAGAUCUUUCGACCACUUUGGUUAGUCAAUGUUCCGUUUGGAACCAUCCAAGUUUUAUUCGAGCUUACGCUUUAUUAUUUUCGAUCUUUUGUCAAUUUUGAACAAUUUUUCGAGAUUUCAUUUUUGCGCAACAUCAUACCCUUACUUUUCAUACGAUUAUACAUUAUUAGCAUGCAUGAUUUCACGUAAUUUUAUUCACGCUUUUAUAACAACGAGCGGAGACAUAUCAUCGAGGUAGGAGUGAUUUCCUUAACUAGACGAUUAACUCCACUUCUUUUUCUCAUCUUACAACGACCUCACCAAUGGGUUAGGGGUGAUUCCAUUACCUAGGUGAUCGUUACCGAUACUUUCUUUUAAUAGACUAUGUUAUGUAAACACGAUCAUUUAUACAUCUAAAUCGUUUAUCAUUAGUCAAAUCUCUAAUUAUUUCAAAAUGCAUUGUUUAUAUGAAUGAACUUCUUAUGCUAUUCUUAUGCUCGUAUUUGUGUAUCAAAAUCUAUUGUUCGCUUUUAUACUCCUCUCAUUCUCUAUUAUUCUUUGCCUUUUAUACAAACCCCAUUCGCUAUCUAGUUUGUUAAAACAUUCGAAUCCUAAGCUACCUCCUUACUUUUAAAACUAUCGUUCUAUUCCUUAGUGAUGUGCAAACACUUGUAACCGUUUCGUACAAAUUUUUCCUUCUUAAAUACGACACAUUCUAAUACAUCCCGAAUUUGGGUUAUUCAAAACUUGUUUAAACUCACUUUACCUAUAAACGUACUUACACGUUUUACUUAUGCUUAACGCCUCAACCCAUUUAGGCCAAACACACUCCUUUUACAAAACCUAUCAUUCCGUCCUUCAAAUUUCGUACUUUUCAAAAUGUUUCAGAACUUCCAAGUCUCAAUUUCAGGCAACCAUCCUUCUAACCGAAAUGCUUUUCUCCAAUAAAUUUCGGGACGAAAUUUCCUAAAGUAGGGGAGACUGUAACAUCCGUCAAAAUGGAUUGCCAAAAUCCGACCCGUUUUGAAUUUUGGAUUCUAACCCUAGAAGCCCGAGAGCUUCGCAAAAUAAUUAACCGUUUAAUUCGUUAUAAACUCAUUAGUUUAAUUAACUAAAUUGACUAAUGUUACAAUUAAAAGUCUUAUUUUCCUUUCCUUACAAAAAAAAAAUAAUAAAAAAAUAAAAAUAAUAAUCUAGUUAGUCUCGUUAAGGUUAAGAAAAUACAAGUAAUCUGGCUAGUAAGUCAAGUUAGGUCGGUUGAUUAACCUUAGGGACUGUUUGUGCAAAUUAGUAAAUUAAACCACAUGGACUGUUGUGCAAAUUUUGGAACUUGGAACUCUCAAUUAACCAAACGACGCACAGUACACAUAAAUUAUGAGUCUUCUUUUUUUUGCCGCUCGAUGCAUAUCCCCAUUCUUUUGUCUGCUCUUUUUCCUCUACAAAACUUACACACACAUGGUCAGCAUACAACAUCACAAGCAGGCCUCUCACCUCCCUCUCUCGACUGUAUACGGCCAGAAACCGACGACCGGAGAGAUUCCGGUGACGGCCGUCCGUAAGCCCUCACCACCACGGCACACCCCAACACCCGCAUAACACCGUAACAUCCUCCGAACCACUUCACGUUGACGGAGUUCAGUCGCAGUCACCGGAGACACCACAAGACACCUCAACCGUCGGAGACGUUGCCGGAACUCGGAUCCUCGCCGAAGUCGUUACGUCGGAACUCGGAUAACCAUUUCGUACUCUUGGAUUUCCCAAUCUUUUACCCGUGCGAUAUUUCACAAGGAAUAUCCAAGCGCAACCACUGUUAAUUAUUGAGACGAUAUUCAAGACGAAACAGGAUUUAGGGUGGACUAGAUACACACCUAGAUCAAUCUAUCUUUUAUUGUUAUGUUAUGAAACAAUGUUGUUAUUUCUUUUUGGAUCUCGUAUGACAUUUAGUAUUGCAAUGAAAUUUGAAUUUAAUUAAA